RNAcentral lists this small nuclear RNA (414 nucleotides) under Medicago truncatula (barrel medic). RNAcentral's name for it is "lncRNA gene3634". The stretch from base 1 to 196 matches the Rfam family "U2 spliceosomal RNA". Lineage: Eukaryota; Viridiplantae; Streptophyta; Magnoliopsida; Fabales; Fabaceae. The record is from RNAcentral.
AUACCUUUCUCGGCCUUUUGGCUAAGAUCAAGUGUAGUAUCUGUUCUUAUCAGUUUAAUAUCUGAUAUGUGACCCCAAUGGGUCACACGAUAUUAAAUUACUUUUUUAAGGGGGAGAGACUAUUAUAGUAGCUUGCUACUAGGUCUUUCAUGUGUCGUUUAUGCGUUGCACUAUUGCAUUGGCUGGCGCAUCCCACCAAUUAAAGUUUCAAGUAUUUUUCCUAAAAUAAAAAGAAGUUUUUGUUUAGUUAAGAAUCUUUGUAUUGUAAGGCACUAAUGUCAAAUUACGUUGUUUAUUAGUCCAAUCGUGAACUAAACCCACAUUAAUAUGGGUGGUUGGUAUCAGCGUCAAUGUUCCAGUGCUGAUUGAGAGUAAAUAUCCCUUGCACAUAGAAAUUACUCAUAGCUUAAUCGU